UUCGCAAUGCCCGAAAGGGUGACGAAGCGACGCCGCGUGUGGGAAGAAGGCCUUCGGGUUGUAAACCACUGUCGGGAGUUAAGAAAUGCAAGAAUGUUAAUAGCGUUUUUGCUUGACUAAGGCUCCGGAGGAAGCCACGGCUAACUCUGUGCCAGCAGCCGCGGUAAUACAGAGGCGGCAAGCGUUGUUCGGAAUUAUUGGGCGUAAAGAGCACGUAGGCGGCUAUAUAAGUCGGUUGUGAAAGCCUUCCGCUCAACGGGAGAACAGCAUCCGAUACUGUGUGGCUUGAGUGUGGGAGGGGAGAGCGGAACUUCUGGUGGAGCGGUGAAAUGCGUAGAUAUCAGAAGGAACGCCGGCGGCGAAAGCGGCUCUCUGGCCCAUAACUGACGCUGAGUGUGCGAAAGCUAGGGGAGCAAACGGGAUUAGAUACCCCGGUAGUCCUAGCCGUAAACGAUGGGCACUAAGUAGAGGGGUU
This 475-nucleotide ribosomal RNA is filed under the name uncultured bacterium. RNAcentral's name for it is "bacterial SSU rRNA". It matches the Rfam family "Bacterial small subunit ribosomal RNA", at positions 365 to 830 of the family's 1533-position model. The record is from RNAcentral.